This 466-nucleotide ribosomal RNA is filed under the name uncultured bacterium. RNAcentral's name for it is "partial 16S ribosomal RNA". It matches the Rfam family "Bacterial small subunit ribosomal RNA", at positions 30 to 507 of the family's 1533-position model. The record is from RNAcentral.
CGAACGCUGGCGGCGUGCUUAACACACGCAAGUCGAACGGAAAGGCCCUGCUUUUGUGGGGUGCUCGAGUGGCGAACGGGUGAGUAACACGUGAGUAACCUGCCCUUGACUUUGGGAUAACUUCAGGAAACUGGGGCUAAUACCGGAUAGGAGCUCCUGCUGCAUGGUGGGGGUUGGAAAGUUUCGGCGGUUGGGGAUGGACUCGCGGCUUAUCAGCUUGUUGGUGGGGUAGUGGCUUACCAAGGCUUUGACGGGUAGCCGGCCUGAGAGGGUGACCGGCCACAUUGGGACUGAGAUGCGGCCCAGACUCCUACGGGAGGCAGCAGUGGGGAAUAUUGCACAAUGGGCGGAAGCCUGAUGCAGCAACGCCGCGUGCGGGAUGACGGCCUUCGGGUUGUAAACCGCUUUCGCCUGUGACGAAGCGUGAGUGACGGUAAUGGGUAAAGAAGCACCGGCUAACUACGUG